UCAAUAAUACCGAAGGCUAACACCUACAGAUAUUUUACCAAUAAAUAGAGUCAAACAAAAUGUGAUCUAUGGCAAGGAAACAUAUGUGGGGUGAGGUGUACGAGCCUCUGGUCAAUGACCAAUGGCCACACAACCCCCAUUUUUGUCGAAAAUAGCAUGAACGACCAUUUUCAAUAAUACCGAAGGCUAACACCUACGCAUUUUUACUAAGAUUUGGUCUCCACCAGAAAUCCAAACAUUUUAUCUAUGGCAAUAAAACAUAUGUGGGAUGAGGUGUACGAGCCUUUGGUCGAUGAUUAAUGGCCACACAACCCCUAUUUUUGUUGAAAAUAGCAUGAACGACCAUUUUCAAUAAUACCGAAGGAUAACACCUACAAUUUUUGGCCAAGAAAUGGUAUCCAAUAGAAAUCCAAGAAUGUGAUAUAUGGCAAGUAAACAUAUGUGGGGUUAGGUGUACGAGCCUCUCGUCAUUGAUCAAUGGCCACACAACCCCUAUUUUUUUGAAAAUAACAUGAACGACCAUUUUCAAUAAUACCGAAGGGUAACACCUAUGAAUUUUUGACCAAGAAAUGGUCUCCUCCAGAAAUCCAAGAUUGUGAUCUAUGGGAAGGAAACAUUUGUGGGGUGAGUUGUACGAGCCUUUGGUCGAUGAUAAAUGGCCACACAACCCACAUUUUUGUCGAAAAUUGAAUGGACGACUAUUUCAAUAAUACCGAAGGCUAACACCUACGGAUUUUUGAUCAACAAAUGGUCUCCACUAGAAAUCUAAGAAUGUGAUCUAUGGCAAGGAAACAUAUGUGGGGUGAGGUGUACGAGCCUCUGGUCGAUGAUCAAUGGCCACACAACCCCAUUAUUGUCAAAAAUAGCCAUUAAUGACCAUUUUCAAUAAUACAGAAGGCUAACACCUACGAUUUAUGACCUGGAAAUGGUCGGUUGGAAUAUAAAGAAUUCAAAACAAUAGAUCAGCUUUUAAACCUCAAAUGAUGUUUCUAUGAUAUUGACUGCAUUGUAUUCACAUGAGUGAGUAUUAGAGUACAACUAGUGGAUGAAGACGUUAUUGGGCUAGCUAAUGACCUUUUGUGAUACCAGGUUUCCUAUAAUCCCCUCUAUUCAAGGCAUACCUAGAUGGUGUUUAUGUCCACUCAAGUAAAACACUACACUUUAUUAUGCCACAUUGUUUCUCAAAAUAAAAUAAAGACCAUGGGAAAUUUAGCUAAAUUACAUAAGAGAUCUGUCCAAACAUAGGUUAAGGUUGUAAGGCACCUUUUUCCAUCAUACAGUUGCUAAAAAGUUGGAAUAUAAAGAAUUCAAAAAAAUAGACCAACUUUGAAACUAGAAAUAGUGUUUCUAUGGUAAUGAGGGCAUUGUAUUCGCAUGAGAGGGUAUUAGAGUACAACACACUGAAUGAAGACAUUAGUGGGCUAGCUAAUGACCUUUUGUGAUAAUAUGUUUCCUAUAAUCCCCUCUAUUCAAGGCAUACUCAAAUGGUGUUUAAGUCCACUCAAGUAAAACACCACACUUCAAUUUGCAACAUCGUUUCUCAAAAUAAAAUAAAGACCAUGAAAAUUUUAGCCAAAUUGCAUGGGAGACCUGUCCAAACAUAGGUUAACAUUGUAAGGCAUAUUUUUUAAACCAUGCAAAAAGUUGGAAUAUAAAGAAUUCAAUACAAUAGAUAACCUUUUAAACUACAAAUGACGUUUCCUGAUGUCAAGGGCAUUGUAUUAGCACGAGAGGGUAUUAGAGUACAACUAGUGGAUGAAGACGUCAUUGGGCUAGCUAAUGACCUUUUGUGAUUCUAGGUUUCCUAUAAUCCCCUCUAGGUUUCCUAUAAUCCCCUCUAUUCAAUAUGCCACAUCGUUUCUCAAUAUAAAAUAAAGACCAUGGAAAAUUUAGCCAAAUUGCAUGAGUGAAUUGUCCAAACAUUGGUUAUGGUUGUAAGGCACCUUUUUCCACCAUACAGUUGCUAAAAAGUUGGAAUAUAAAGAAUUCUAAUCAAUAGAUCAUCUUUUAAACCACAAAUGAUGUUUCCAUGAUAUUGAGGGCAUUGUAUUCACAUGAGAGGGUAUUAGAGUACAACUAGUGGAUGAAGACAUUGUUGGGCUAGCUACUGACCUUUUGUGAUACCAGGUUUCCUAUAAUCCUCUCUAUUCAAGGCAUACCUAGGUGGUGUUUAUGUCCACUCAAGUAAAACACCGCACAUCAUUAUGCCACAUCGUUUCUCAAAAUAAAAUAAAAUAAAGACCAUGGGAAAUUUAGAAAAAUUGCGUGAGAGAUCUGUCCAAACAUAGGUUAUAGUUGUAUGUCACCUUUUUUCCACCAUAAAGUUGUGAAAAGGUUGUAAUAUAAAGAAUACAAAACAAUAGAUCACCUUUUAAACCUCAAAUGACGUUUCUAUGAUAUUGAGGACAUUGUAUUCAGACGAGUGGGUAUUCGAGAACAACUUGUCGAUGAAGACGUUAUUGGGCUAGCUAAUGACCUUUUGUGAUACUAGGUUUCCUAUAAUCCCCUGUAUUAAAGGCAUACCUAGAUGGUGUUUAUGUCCACUCAAGUAAAACAUCGCACAUCAUUACGCCACAUCGUUUCUAAAAUAAAAUAAAGACAAUAGGAAAUUUAGCCAAAUUGCGUAAGAGAUCUGUCCAAACAUAGGUUAAGGUUGUAAGACACCUUUUUUCCACCAUACAGUUGCUAAAAAGUUGGAAUAUAAAGAAUUCAAAACAAUAGAUCAUGUUUGAAACAAAAAAUAGUGUUUCUAUGAUAUUAAAGGCAUUGUAUUCGCACGAGAGGGUAUUAGAGUACAACUAUUGGAUGAAGACGCUAGUGGGCUAGCUAAUGAUCUUUUGUGAUAACAGGUUUCCUAUAAUCCCCACUAUUCAAGGAAUACUUAAACGGUGUUUAUGUCCACUCAAGUAAAACGCCACACAUCAAUUUGCCACAUCGAUUCUCAAAAUAAAAUAAAGAUGAUAAAAAGUUGGAAUAUAAAGAAUUCAAUACAAUAGAUCAACUUUUAAACCACAAAUGACGUUUCCUUGAUGUCAAGGGCAUUGCAUUGGCACGAGAGGGUAUUAGAGUACAACUAGUGGAUGAAGAUGUCAUUGGGCUAGCUAAUGACCUUUUGUGAUACCAGGUUUCCUAUAAUCCUCUCUAUUCAAGGCAUACCUAGUUGUGUUUAUGUCCACUCAAGAAAAACAAAACACAUCAAUAUGCCACAUCGUUUCUAAAAUAAAAUAAUGACCAUGAAAAAUUUAGCCAAAUUACGUGAGUGAACUGUCCAAACAAAGGUUAAGGUUGUAAGGCACCUUUUUUCCACCAUAUAGUUGCAAAAAAGUUGGAAUAUAAAGAAUUCAAAACAAUAUAUCACCUUUUAAACCUCAAAUGACGUUUCUAUGAUAUUGAGGGCAUUGUAUUCACACGAGACGGUAUUAGAGUACAACUAGUGGAUGAAGAUGUUAUUAAGCUAGCAAAUGACCUUUUGUGAUAGCAAAAUACCUAAAAUCCCCUCUAUUUAACGCAUACCUAGAUGGUAUUUGUGUCCACUCAAGUAAAACACCGCACAUCAUUAUGCCACAUCGUUUCUCAAAAUAAAAUAAAGACCAUGGGAAAUUUAGCCAAAUUGCGUGAGCGAACUUUCCAAACAUAGGUUAAUGUUGUAAGCACUUUUUUCCACCAUACAGUUGCUAAAAAGCAGGAAUAUAAAGAAUUCAAAACAAUAGAUCACCUUUUAAACUAAAAAUGAUGUUUCCCAGAUGUCAAGGGCAUUGUAUUCGCACGAGAGGGUAUUAGAGUACAACUAGUGGAUAAACAUAUGUGGGAUGAGGUGUACGAGCCUUUGGUCGAUGAUUAAUGGCCACACAACCCCUAUUUUUGUUGAAAAUAGCAUGAACGACCAUUUUCAAUAAUACCGAAGGAUAACACCUACAAUUUUUGGCCAAGAAAUGGUAUCCAAUAGAAAUCCAAGAAUGUGAUAUAUGGCAAGUAAACAUAUGUGGGUUAGGUGUACGAGCCUCUGUCAUUGAUCAAUGGCCACACAACCCCUAUUUUUUUGAAAAUAACAUGAACGACCAUUUUCAAUAAUACCGAAGGGUAACACCUAUGAAUUUUUGAUCUAUGGGAAGGAAACAUUUGUGGGGUGAGUUGUACGAGCCUUUGGUCGAUGAUAAAUGGCCACACAACCCACAUUUUUGUCGAAAAUUGAAUGGACGACUAUUUCAAUAAUACCGAAGGCUAACACAUUCGGAUUUUUGCCCAAGAAAUGGUCUCCACCAGAAAUCCAAGAAUGUGAUCUAUGGCAAGGAAACAUAUGUGGGGUGAGGUGUACGAGCCUCUGGUCGAUGAUCAAUGGCCACACAACCCCCAUUUUGUCGAAAAUAGCCAUGAACGACCAUUUUCAAUAAUACUGAAGGCUAACACGUACGAAUUUUUUACCAAGACAUGGUCUCCACCAAAAAUCCAAGAAUGUGAUCUAUGGCAAGGAAACAUAUGUGGGGUGAGGUGUACGAGCCUCUGGUCGAUGAUACAUGGCCACACAACCCCCAUUUUUUAUGAAAAUAGCCAUGAACGACCAUUUUCAAUAAUACCGAAGGCUAAGACCUACGGAUUUUUGACCAAGAAAUGGUCUCCACCAGAAAUCCAAGAAUGUGAUCUAUGGCAAGGAAACAUAUAUGGGGUGAGGUGUAUGAGCAUCUCGUUGAUGAUCAAUGGCCACACAACCCCCAUUUUUGUCGAAAAUAGCCAUGAACGACCAUUUUCAAUAAUACCGAAGGCUAACACCUACGGAUUUUUGACCAAGAAAUGGUCUCCACCAGAAAUCCAAGAAUGUGAUCUAUGGCAAGGAAACAUAUGUGGGGUGAGGUGUACGAGCCUCAGGUCGAUGAUCAAUGGCCACACAACCCCCAUUUUUGUCGAAAAUAGCCAUGAACGACCAUUUUCAAUGACACUGAAGGCUAACACCUACGGAUUUUUGACCAAGAAAUGGUCACCACCAUAAAUCCAAGAAUGUGAUCUAUGGCAAGGAAACAUAUGUGUAGUGAGGUGUAUGAGCCUAUAGUCGAAUAUCACCGAAGGCUAACACCUACGGAUUUUUGACCAAGAAAUGGUCUCCACCAGAAAUCCAAGAAUGUGAUCUAUGGCAAGGAAACAUAUGUGGGGUGAGGUGUACGAGCCUCAGGUCGAUGAUCAAUGGCCACACAACCCCCAUUUUUGUCAAAAAUAGCCAUGAACGACCAUUUUCAAUGACACUGAAGGCUAACACCUACGGAUUUUUGACCAAGAAAUGAUCACCACCAUAAAUCCAAGAAUGUGAUCUAUGGCAAGGAAACCUAUGUGGGGUGAGGUGUAGGAGCCUCUAGUCGAUGAUCAAUGGCCACACAACCUUCAUCUUUGCCGAAAAUAGCCAUGAAACGACCAUUUUCAAUAAUACCAAAGGCUUACACCAACAGGUUUUUUACCAAGAAAUGAUCUCCACCAAAAAUCCAAGAAUGUGAUCUAUGGCAAGGAAACAUAUGUGGGGUCAGGUGUAUGAGCCUUUGGUCGAUGAUCAAUGGCUACACAACCCCCAUUUUUGUCCAAUAUAGCAAGAACGAGCAUUUUCAACAAUACCGAAGGCUAACACCUACAGAUUUUUGACCAACAAAUGGACCCCACCAGAAAUCCAAGAAUGUGACCUAUGGCAAGGAAACAUAUGUGGGGUCAGGUGUACGAGCCUUUGUUCGAUGGUCAAUGGCUACACAACCCCCAUUUUGUCGAAAAUAGAAUGAACGACCAUUUUCAAUAAUACCGAAUGCUAGCACCUACGGAUUUUUGACCAAGAAAUGGUCUCCACCAGAAAUCUAAAAAUGUGACCUAUGACAAGGAAACAUAUGUGGGGUCUGGUGUACAAGCCUCUGGUCGAUGAUCAAUGGCCCCACAACCCCCAUUUUGUCGAAAAUAGCCAUGAACGAUAAUUUUCAAUAAUACUGAAGGCUAACACCUAGGAUUUUUACCAAGAAAUGGUCUCCACCAGAAAUCCAAGAAUGUGAUCCAUGGUAAGGAAACAUAUGUGGGUGAGGUGUACGAGCCUCUGGUCGAUGAUCAAAGGCCACACAACCCCUAUUUUUUCAAAAAUAGCAUGAACGACCAUUUUCAAUAAUACCGAAGGCUAACACCAACGGAUUUUUGACCAAGAAAUGGUCUCACCAAAAAUCCAAGAAUGUGAUCUUUGGCAAGGAAACAUAUGGGGGGUGAGGUGAACGAGCCUCUGGUCAAUGAUCAAUGGCCACACAACCCCCAUUUUUGUCGAAAAUAGCCAUGAACGACCAUUUUCAAUAAUACCGAAGGCUAACACCUUCAGAUUUUUGACCAAGAAAAUGGUCUCCAUAGAAAUCCAAGAAUGUGACCUAUGGCAAGGAAACAUAAGUGGGGUGAGGUGUACGAGCCUCUGGUCGAUGAUGAAUGGCCACACAACCCCAUUUUUGUCAGAAAUUGCCUUGAACGAGCAUUUUCAAUAAUACCAAAGGCUAACACCUACCGAUUUUUGACCAAGAAAUAGUCUUCGCUAGAAAUCCAAGAAUGUGAACUAUGGGAAGGAAACAUAUGUGGGGUGAGGUGUACUCGAAACUGGUCGAUGAUCAAUUGCCACACAACCCCCAUUUUUGUCGAAAAUAGCAUGCACGACCAUUUUCAAUAAUACCUACAGAUUUUUGGCCAAGAAAUGGUCUCCGCCCGAAAACCAAGAAUGUGAUCUAUCACAAGGAAACAAAUGUGGGGUGAGGUGUACGAGCCUCUAGUCGAUGAUCAAUGGCCAACACCUACGGAUUCUUGACCAAGAAAUGGUCUCCACCAAAAAUCCAAGAAUGUGAUCUAUGGCCAGGAAACAUAUGUGGGGUCAGGUUUAUGGGCCUCUGGUCGAUGAUCAAUGAUCACACAACCCCUAUUUGUGUCCAAAAUAGCAUGAAUGACCAUUUUCAAUAAUACCGAAGGCUAACACCAAUGGAUUUUUGACCAAGUAAUGGCCUCCACCAGAAAUCCAAGAAUGUGAUCUUUGGCAAGGAAACAUAUGUGGGGUGAGGUGUACGAGCCUCUGGUCGAUGAUCAAUGGCCACACAACACACAUAAACUUAAACUCAUAUUGAUGUGUUUAUGUCCACUCAAGUAAAACAUCACACAUCAUUAUGCCACAUCGUUUCUAAAAAUAAAAUAAAGACCAUGGGAAAUUUAGCCAAAUUGCACGAGAGAACUGUCCAAACAUGGGUUAAGGUUGUAAGGAAUCUUCUUUCCACCAAACUAUUGCUAUUAAGUAGGAAUAUGAAGAAUUCAAAACAAUAGAUCAUCUUUUAAACUAAAAAUGACGUUUCCUUGAUGUCAAGGGCAUUGUAUUCGCACCAGAGGGUAUUAGAGUACAACUAGUGGAUGAAGACGUUAUUGGGCUAGCUAAUGACCUUUUGUGAUACCAGGUUUCCUAUAAUCCCCUUUAUUCAAGGCAUACCUAGAUGGUUUUUAUAUCCACUCAAGAAAAACAACACACAUCAAUAUGCCACAUCGUUUCUCAAAAUAAAAUAAUGACCAUGGAAAAUUUAUCCAAAUUGAGUGAGAGAACUGUCCAAACAUAGGUUAAGGUUGUAAGGCACAUUUUUCCACCAUACCGUUGCUAAAAAGUUGGAAUAUAGAGAAUUCAAACAAUAGAUCACCUUUUAAACCACAAAUGACGUUUCUAUGAUUUUGAGGGCACUAUAUUAGCACGAGAGGGUAUUAGUGUGCAACUAGUGGAUGAAGACGUUAUUGGGCUAGCUAAUGACUUUUGUGAUACCAGGUUUCCAAUAGUCCCCUCUAUUCAAGGCAUACCUAGAUGGUGUUUAUGUCCACUCAAGUAUAACACCAUACAUCAUUAUGCCACACUGUUUCUCAAAGUAAAAUAAAGACCAUGGGAAAUUUAGCCAAAUUGCGUGAGAGAACUGUCCAAAUAUAGGUUAAGGUUGUAAGACACCUUUUUUCCACCGUACAAUUGCUAAAAAGUUGGAAUAUAAAGAAUUCAAAACAAUAGAUCACCUUUUAUACCACAAAUGACGUUUCCUAGAUGUCAAGAGCAUUGUAAUUGCACGUGAGGGUAUUAGAGUACAACUAGUGGAUGAAGACGUCAUUGGGCUAGCAAAUGACAUUUUGUGAUACCAGGUUUCCUAUAAUCCCCUCUAUUCAAGGCAUACCUACACGGUGUUUAUGUCCACUCAAGAAAACAAAACACAUCAAUAUGCCACAUUGUUCUAAAAAUAAAAUAAUGACCUUGGAAAAUUUAGCCAAAUUACGUGAGUGAACUGUACAAGAUAGGUUAAGGUUGUAAGGCACCUUUUUUCCACCAUACAGUUGCGAAAAAGUUGGAAUAUAAAGAAUUCAAAACAAUAGAUCACCUUUUAAACCUCAAAUGACGUUUCUAUGAUAUUGAGGGCAUUGUAUUCACAACUAGUGGAUGAUGACGUUAUUGGGCUAGCUAAUGACCUUUUGUGAUACUAGGUUUCCUAUAAUCCCCUCUAUUCAAGGCAUACCUAGAUGGUGUUUAUGUCCACUCAAGUAAAACACCGUACAUCAUUUUUGCCACAUCGUUUCUCAAAAUAAAAUAAAGACCAUGGGAAAUUUAUCCAAAUUGCGUGUGAGAUCUGUCCAAACAUAGGUUACGGUUGUAAGGCACCUUUUUCCACCAUACAGAUGCUAAAAGGUUGGAAUAUGAAGAAUUCAAAACAAUAUAUCACCUUUUAAACCUCAAAUGUCGUUUCUAUGAUAUUGAGGGCAUUGUAUUCACACGAGUGGGUUUUAGAGUACAACUAGUGGAUGAAGACAUUAUUGGGCUAGCUAAUGAUCUUUUGCGAUACCAGGUUUCCUAUAAUCCCUCUAUUCUAGGCACACCAAGAUGGCGUUUCUGUCCACUCAAGUAAAACACCACACAUCAUUAUGCCACAUCAUUUCUCAAAAUAUAAUAAAGACCAUGUGAAAUUUAGCGAAAUUGCGUGAGAGAACUGUCCAAACAUAGGUUAAGGUUAUAUGACACCUUUUUCCACCAUACAGUUGCUAAAAUGUAGGAAUAUAAAGAAUUCAAAGUAAUAGAUCAACUUUUAAACUAAAAAUGACGUUUCCCUGAUGUCAAUGGCAUUGUAUUCACACGAGAGGGUAUUAGAAUACAACUACUGGAUGAACACGUUAGUGGGCUAGCUAAUGACCUUUUGUGAUAACAGGUUUCCUAUAACCCCUCUAUUCAAGGCAUACUUAGACGGUGAUUAUGUCCACUCAAGUAAAACACCACACAUCAAUUUGCCACAUCGUUUCUCAAAAUCAAAUAAAGACCAUUGAAAAUUUUGCCAAACUACAUGGGAGAACUGUCCAAACAUAUGUUAAGGCUGUAAGGCACCUUUUUUCCACCAUACAGUUGCUAAAAAGUUUCAAUAUAAAGAAUUCAAUUCAAUAGAUCACCUUUUAAACCACAACUGACGUUUCCUUGAUGUCAAGGGCAUUGCAUUGGCACGAGAGGGUAUUAGAGUAC
Molecule: long non-coding RNA, 9499 nt
Filed under: Zea mays
Lineage: Eukaryota; Viridiplantae; Streptophyta; Magnoliopsida; Poales; Poaceae
Description: long non-coding RNA (ZMAY_LNC005753)
Source: RNAcentral